This is a long non-coding RNA of Lemur catta (Ring-tailed lemur), 503 nucleotides long. RefSeq lists it as uncharacterized. The transcript is spliced from 4 exons. NCBI's taxonomy places the organism in Eukaryota, Metazoa, Chordata, Mammalia, Primates, Lemuridae. The record is from RefSeq and is a predicted model, not a curated record.
AGGAUGCUGGGGGUGCAGGAGAAAGUACCUGUGCACGGGCAUCUUCACCAGCCUUGCAGAGGAACAGAUGCAUAAUCAGCGCUGAGUCAUAAGGGCAGAAGAACACAAGAAAGGCCACAGAUUCUAUGAAGUGACGAUCUGAGGAAGUGUGGGAGACAUCACUGAAGUGAAAUGGGGGCCUGAAAUUCCAGGGAAAGAAGAGGAGGUACUUUGAACACAGUGUGCCAGAGAAUUCUGGUGUGAAGAACAAACGGAAGCAGCCAGAAGGCAGAGCUGACUUCCUUGCCCAAAGUCUGUGGUACGACAAAGGGCCGGGAACCGUCAACGUGAACUGCAAAUGUGCAGGCUAGUCAAGUGAAGCAGUGGGAGCGGAGGAGGAACAAAGGAAUCUGUCACUGGUUGUGAUCAAUUAGUUGUAAACACCACUGCACUUGGACCAGCCAAAUGAUCCUCUUUCAAAACAUACCAUCUGAUUACCUUGUUAUGUGCAUAUUUAAGCUAUA